RNAcentral lists this ribosomal RNA (482 nucleotides) under uncultured bacterium. RNAcentral describes it as "partial 16S ribosomal RNA". It matches the Rfam family "Bacterial small subunit ribosomal RNA", at positions 28 to 507 of the family's 1533-position model. The record is from RNAcentral.
GACGAACGCUGGCGGCGUGCUUAACACAUGCAAGUCGAACGAUGAAGAAGAGAAACGCGAACUUCGGUUCAAAUUUCACUUCGGAUUAGUGGCAGACGGGUGAGUAACGCGUGAGCAACCUACCUCUUACAAAGGGAUAGCCUCGGGAAACCGUGAUUAAUACCAUAUGACACAUUCAUAAGGCAUCUUAAGAAUGUUAAAGCUACGGCGGUAAGAGAUGGGCUCGCGUCCCAUUAGCUAGUUGGUGAGGUAACGGCCCACCAAGGCGACGAUGGGUAACCGGCCUGAGAGGGUGAACGGUCACAUUGGAACUGAGACACGGUCCAAACUCCUACGGGAGGCAGCAGUGGGGAAUAUUGCACAAUGGAGGGAACUCUGAUGCAGCGACGCCGCGUGAGCGAUGAGGGAAUUCGUGUCGUAAAGCUCUGUUCUAUGGGAAGAAAAGGACUGUACCAUAGGAGAAAGCCCCGGCUAAAUACGUG